UCCGGUUGAUCCUGCCGGACCCGACCGCUAUCGGGGUAGGGCUAAGCCAUGCGAGUCGCGCGCCCGGGGGCGCCCGGGAGCGGCGCACGGCUCAGUAACACGUGCCCAACCUACCCUCGGGAGGGGGACACCCCCGGGAAACUGGGGCCAAUCCCCCAUAGGGGAGGGGCGCUGGAAGGCCCCCUCCCCCAAAGGGAUGGCGGCCGAUCCGCCGCCAUCCGCCCGAGGAUGGGGGCACGGCCCAUCAGGUAGUUGGCGGGUUAAAGGCCCGCCAAGCCGAAGACGGGUAGGGGCGGUGAGAGCCGCGAGCCCCGAGAUCGGCACUGAGACAAGGGCCGAGGCCCUACGGGGUGCAGCAGGCGCGAAUACUCCGCAAUGCGGGCAACCGCGACGGGGCUACCCCGAGUGCCGGGCGAAGAGCCCGGCUUUUGCCCGGUCUAAAAAGCCGGGAGAAUAAGCGGGGGGCAAGUCUGGUGUCAGCCGCCGCGGUAAUACCAGCUCCGCGAGUGGUCGGGGUGUUUACUGGGCUUAAAGCGCCCGUAGCCGGCCCGGCAAGUCGCUCCUGAAAUCCCCGGGCUCAACCCGGGGGCGGGGGGCGAUACUGCCGGGCUAGGGGGCGGGAGAGGCCGCCGGUACUC
This 638-nucleotide ribosomal RNA is filed under the name uncultured Thermoproteales archaeon. Its description in RNAcentral is "partial 16S ribosomal RNA". It matches the Rfam family "Archaeal small subunit ribosomal RNA", at positions 1 to 620 of the family's 1478-position model. Lineage: Archaea; Thermoproteati; Thermoproteota; Thermoprotei; Thermoproteales. The record is from RNAcentral.